ACUUUCGGGACAACCUAAUAUAAACUUUUUUAGGUGAUCCAAGUGUAGAAGUGAGUGAGUAGCUAUCGAGAUUUCGAAUUAAUCUCUUAGAAGGUUGAAUAUUACUCAUAAGUUCCACCACGGCACACCAAUGAACGACAAGCGAAAGUGAAACAAUGUUUGUUACCUAUUUCGAGCAGUCGGAGCUGGACAUACGUGCCCCGAAGCGUUCGCCAAACGUUCUAUCGCCUGAAGCGGAUAUUGGCAAUGAGCUGUAUGAAUAAAGGAGGAAGUCGCAUAAUAUAUCGCACCUGCUAUGAGGAACCUUCUGCUGUCCUUCCUCUUAAACGGGGGAAGCAUUGAAGUCUCCGGAUUAAUCUUCAAUGCAAUCCAAUCGUUUAUUUCUCUCUCAUUGUUCAACCGGCUAUGGUUACUCACGGACCAUGGAACAUCUUCGAUUAAGUGUUGAAAUACUUUGGCAACGUUUACGAGAAAGCAGCCAACGAAUCCGACAAAAUAUGGACAACAUACAUGGAAUAUUUGAAAGAUUGAGAAACUAUAACGAGACAUUUCCAAGCUUAUACUUGGUCCGAUGGUAGCCAUUUGAGUACUUCCUAUAAAGGAAACGAUUAUGUCUGGUUACCGAUCAUACAUAUUAAAUAGAGGAAAUACACAAUGAACUACGUGUAAUAACCGAUAGUGGAGAACCACUGGGUCUGUGUGAGUCAGGCAGAGUAAGGUCCAGUAUAAGGUCCUGGGGUGAUUCGCCUAGACGGCCAUGACCAUAUUACAGGCCAGAGGCCCCCAAUACCAGUCAGCAAGCUCACUUCCAGUGACAACUGGCGAAAUCAUUGCCGGCAAAUCGCUUCAUGUGUUCACAACAGAACUCGAGUUCAUGGACUUAAUUUGUUUACACAACCAUGUCAAAAGCUAUAUUCAUCCUUCGUUGUACGUUUAAGUAUUCAACCCCAAUGAUUCAUGUUACCUCUUUUGCUACAAAAAUAUGUAAAACCAUUUACGUUUGAAAAAGAAUCAAGCGAAUGUAUAUCUUACAAUAAAAUUGAAUCGAUGAAAUUAUUUAAAAAUAUACACGAUUACUUCUAGUAAUGGAGAAUAGUAUUUAAUAACGAAUGAUAACACUAUCCAACAAAUUUAAACUUUUUUUAAAUUCCGCGAUAUCCACUAGGUGAUUCU
Hylaeus volcanicus is the source of this 1173-nucleotide long non-coding RNA. RefSeq lists it as uncharacterized. The record is from RefSeq and is a predicted model, not a curated record. Lineage: Eukaryota; Metazoa; Arthropoda; Insecta; Hymenoptera; Colletidae. The transcript is spliced from 4 exons.